UGAGUGCGUGACCACAACCUC
This 21-nucleotide unclassified non-coding RNA is filed under the name Chlamydomonas reinhardtii. Its description in RNAcentral is "small RNA Cre_2949". The record is from RNAcentral. Lineage: Eukaryota; Viridiplantae; Chlorophyta; Chlorophyceae; Chlamydomonadales; Chlamydomonadaceae.